GACGAACGCUGGCGGGGGGAGGAACACAGGCAAGUCGAACGGAAAGGCCCUGCUUUUGUGGGGUGCUCGAGUGGCGAACGGGUGAGUAACACGUGAGUAACCUGCCCUUGACUUUGGGAUAACUUCAGGAAACUGGGGCUAAUACCGGAUAGGAGCUCCUGCUGCAUGGUGGGGGUUGGAAAGUUUCGGCGGUUGGGGAUGGACUCGCGGCUUAUCAGCUUGUUGGUGGGGUAGUGGCUUACCAAGGCUUUGACGGGUAGCCGGCCUGAGAGGGUGACCGGCCACAUUGGGACUGAGAUACGGCCCAGACUCCUACGGGAGGCAGCAGUGGGGAAUAUUGCACAAUGGGCGGGAGCCUGAUGCAGCAACGCCGCGUGCGGGAUGACGGCCUUCGGGUUGUAAACCGCUUUCGCCUGUGACGAAGCGUGAGUGACGGUAAUGGGUAAAGAAGCACCGGCUAACUACGUG
RNAcentral lists this ribosomal RNA (468 nucleotides) under uncultured bacterium. Its description in RNAcentral is "partial 16S ribosomal RNA". It matches the Rfam family "Bacterial small subunit ribosomal RNA", at positions 28 to 507 of the family's 1533-position model. The record is from RNAcentral.